CAGUCGCCACGGGAAUACGUAGGGUCCGAGCGUUGUCCGGAAUUAUUGGGCGUAAAGGGCUCGUAGGCGGUUUGUUGCGUCGGGAGUGAAAACCUACAGCUUAACUGUGGGCUUGCUUUCGAUACGGGCAGACUUGAGGCAUUCAGGGGAGAACGGAAUUCCUGGUGUAGCGGUGAAAUGCGCAGAUAUCAGGAGGAACACCGGUGGCGAAGGCGGUUCUCUGGGAAUGUUCUGACGCUGAGGAGCGAAAGUGUGGGGAGCGAACAGGAUUAGAUACCCCCGUAGUCCCUGUCUCUUAUAC
Molecule: ribosomal RNA, 301 nt
Filed under: uncultured bacterium
Lineage: Bacteria
Description: partial 16S ribosomal RNA
Rfam family: Bacterial small subunit ribosomal RNA
Source: RNAcentral